RNAcentral lists this unclassified non-coding RNA (333 nucleotides) under soil metagenome. RNAcentral's name for it is "partial contains 5.8S ribosomal RNA, internal transcribed spacer 2, and large subunit ribosomal RNA". The stretch from base 1 to 120 matches the Rfam family "5.8S ribosomal RNA", at positions 35 to 154 of the family's 154-position model. The record is from RNAcentral.
GAUGAAGAACGUAGCGAAAUGCGAUAAGUAAUGUGAAUUGCAGAAUUCAGUGAAUCAUCGAAUCUUUGAACGCACAUUGCGCCCGCCAGUAUUCUGGCGGGCAUGCCUGUUCGAGCGUCAUUUCAACCAUCAAGCCCCCGGCUUGUGUUGGGGACCUGCGGCUGCCGCAGGCCCUGAAAACCAGUGGCGGGCUCGCUAGUCACUCCGAGCGUAGUAAUACAUCUCGCUCAGGGCGUGCUGCGGGUUCCGGCCGUUAAAAAGCCUUAUUUACCCAAGGUUGACCUCGGAUCAGGUAGGAAGACCCGCUGAACUUAAGCAUAUCAAUAAGCGGAA